AUUCCUACGGGAGGCAGCAGUGGGGAAUCUUGCGCAAUGGGCGAAAGCCUGACGCAGCCAUGCCGCGUGAAUGAUGAAGGUCUUAGGAUUGUAAAAUUCUUUCACCGGGGACGAUAAUGACGGUACCCGGAGAAGAAGCCCCGGCUAACUUCGUGCCAGCAGCCGCGGUAAUACGAAGGGGGCUAGCGUUGCUCGGAAUUACUGGGCGUAAAGGGAGCGUAGGCGGACAUUUAAGUCAGGGGUGAAAUCCCGGGGCUCAACCUCGGAAUUGCCUUUGAUACUGGAUGUCUUGAGUGUGAGAGAGGUAUGUGGAACUCCGAGUGUAGAGGUGAAAUUCGUAGAUAUUCGGAAGAACACCAGUGGCGAAGGCGACAUACUGGCUCAUUACUGACGCUGAGGCUCGAAAGCGUGGGGAGCAAACAGGAUUAGAUACCCUGGUAGUCCACGCCGUAAACGAUGAUUGCUAGUUGUCGGGAUGCAUGCAUUUCGGUGACGCAGCUAACGCAUUAAGCAAUCCGCCUGGGGAGUACGGUCGCAAGAUUAAAACUCAAAGGAAUUGACGGAAU
RNAcentral lists this ribosomal RNA (566 nucleotides) under uncultured bacterium. RNAcentral's name for it is "bacterial SSU rRNA". It matches the Rfam family "Bacterial small subunit ribosomal RNA", at positions 335 to 919 of the family's 1533-position model. The record is from RNAcentral.